CCUGGUUAUGGAGUUGACAUAGUGACGGUUAUAACACUGUGGGUUAUGGGAAUGCCUGGUUAUGGAGUUGACAUAGUUACGGUUAUGACACUGUGGGUUAUGGGAAUGCCUGGUUAUGGAGUUGACAUAGUUAUGGUUAUGAUGACAUAGUUAUGGUUAUGACACAGUGGGUUAUGGGAAUGCCUGGUUAUGGAGUUGACAUAGUUAUGGUUAUGAUGACAUAGUUACGGUUAUGACAUAGUGGGUUACGGGAAUGCCUGGCUAUGGAGUUGACAUAGUUACGGUUAUGACACAGUGGGUUACGGGAAUGACAUACCUGGUUAUGGUGAUGACAUGGUUACGGUUAUGACACGGUGGGUUACGGGAAUGCCUGGUUAUGGAGUUGACAUAGUUACGGUUAUGACACUGUGCUGACUACAGUGAGGAUGAUGGUGACGUGUACUGUAGCCUGAUGAGGGUGAUGGUGACAUGUACUGUAGUCUGAUCAGGGUGAUGUGUACUGUAGUCUGGUGAUGAUGGUGACUGUAGUCUGGUGAUGAUGGUGAUGGUGACAUGUACUGUAGUCUGAUCAGGGUGAUGUGUACUGUAGUCUGGUGAUGAUGGUGACGUGUACUGUGGCCUGAUGAGGGUGAUGGUGACAUGUACUGUAGUCUGAUCAGGGUGAUGUGUACUGUAGUCUGAUCAGGGUGAUGUGUACUGUAGUCUGGUGAUGAUGGUGAUGUGUACUGUAGUCUGGUGAUGAUGGUGAUGUGUACUGUAGUCUGGUGAUGAUGGUGAUGUGUACUGUAGUCUGGUGAUGAUGGUGAUGUGUACUGAGUCUGGUGAUGAUGGUGAUGGUGACUGUAGUCUGGUGAUGAUGGUGAUGGUGACUGUAGUCUGGUGAUGAUGGUGAUGAUGGUGAUGUGUACUGUAGUCUGGUGAUGAUGGUGAUGUGUACUGUAGUCUGGUGAUUCUGGUGAUGAUGGUGAUGUGUACUGUAGUCUGGUGAUGAUGGUGACAUGUACUGUAGUCUGAUCAGGGUGAUGUGUACUGUAGUCUGGUGAUGAUGGUGAUGUGUGUUGUAGAAAUGCUCCUCUGUCUACACAGAGACAUUUUUCCUGACGAAACUCUAACACGUUCUACAAGCGAAUACUGGAACAAUAUUUCCAUUCCCCACAUAAGAACGUGGGGAAUGGUCAGAGGCGAGCUAAAGAAUUAUCAUGUCAUAUGGGUUGUUAUUUUGUGAUGUCAUUAAAAGUGUUAAAGGAAAUACUGUAACUUGGAAAGUAUACACACUACAUGCACGAGGUCUCCAUUCUUUACGUUGUGCAUGAAAUAUUUAAAAAAAUAUGAAAGUAUUUUUGUUAAGAUAGGAACGUGAUUUUAGGAGCCAUGAGAUAAUUUGUCUCCUAUAAACUUUGCACAGUAAGUAGCCACGCCCCGAUUGAGGUCAGAGUUGUGUGUCGGCCUGAGGGAACCGUCCCUUUUGACCAGAGUGCAUAAAAGGAUUGGUAAUGAAAUUAACAUUGAGACCAGAUCAUCGCCAGGCUGCAGAUGCGCCUGUAAAGUAGUUUGAACCCUGAAUACCAACACGAGGUGGAGAAGAAAACUCCCCUCUCAGAUAAUCACUGGUACAGCUGAUUAGGUGUUCUAAGUCAAAUAUCUAGAAAAGCUCAUUUUAAGUGGGACUACUCUACUACUCUUCUCAAUUCACUGUAUUAUUCUACUCUCAUCACCAAUGGGAACCAUCGACACGUAUGGCUAGCCAAUCUUCCGAAAGGAGCAUCUUCCAGAGUGAACAUCAGUAGAAGACGGGGGAGGGGGAACCCUUUAGGACAAUCAGAGCCUUACAAGGGUGUCGCUGAAAGGCCCAACACCCUUCCUAACAAGGCCUCGUUCCGACAGAGAAACGGCGAGCGAAGGUAUUCACACGUAAAUACAUUCAUGAUUUCCAAACGGGAGAAUAGUUUCUAAAGUGUAUCAAAGAUAAUUGUCUUUUCCUCUCUCUCUCUACCUCCCUCUCCUUCUGUAAAAAGCCACCAUAUUGGGUCAGUCCGCUAGGGACCUUUUCCG
Molecule: long non-coding RNA, 2052 nt
Organism: Oncorhynchus tshawytscha (Chinook salmon)
Lineage: Eukaryota; Metazoa; Chordata; Actinopteri; Salmoniformes; Salmonidae
Source: Ensembl